Molecule: ribosomal RNA, 468 nt
Filed under: uncultured bacterium
Lineage: Bacteria
Description: partial 16S ribosomal RNA
Rfam family: Bacterial small subunit ribosomal RNA
Source: RNAcentral
GACGAACGCUGGCGGCGUGCUUAACACAUGCAAGUCGAACGGAAAGGCCCUCCUAUUGUUGGGUGCUCGAGUGGCGAACGGGUGCGUGACACGUGAGUACCCUUCCCUCGACUUUGGGAUAACGUCAGGAAACUGGGGCUAAUACCGGAUAAGAGCUCCUGCUGCAUGGUGGGCGUUGGAAAGUUUCGGCAGUUGUGGAUGGACUCGCGGCUUAUCCGCUUGUUGGUGGGGUAGUGGCUUACCAAGGCUUUCACGGGUACCCGGCCUGAGAGGGUGACCGGGAAAAUUGGGAAUGUGAUACGGCCCGGAGUCGUACGGGAGGCAGCAGUGGGGGAUAGUGCACAAUGGGGGGAAGUCUGAUGCAGGAACGCCGCGUGCGGGAUGACGGACUUCGGGUUGUAGACCGCUUUCGCCUGUGACGAAGCGUGAGUGAAGGUAAUGUGUAAAGAAGCACCGGCUAACUACGUG